RNAcentral lists this ribosomal RNA (495 nucleotides) under uncultured bacterium. RNAcentral's name for it is "partial 16S ribosomal RNA". It matches the Rfam family "Bacterial small subunit ribosomal RNA", at positions 38 to 507 of the family's 1533-position model. The record is from RNAcentral.
GGGGGGGGGGGGGGGGGGGCGGGGGGGGGGGGGGGGGGGCGCGGGAGGGGGAGCUGGCUUCUCGGGAGGAGUUGCGAACGGGUGAGUAACGCGUAGGGAACCUGCCUGGUAGCGGGGGAUAACUAUUGGAAACGAUAGCUAAUACCGCAUAAUAGUAGAUGUUGCAUGACAUUUGCUUAAAAGGUGCAAUUGCAUCACUACCAGAUGGACCUGCGUUGUAUUAGCUAGUUGGUGGGGUAACGGCUCACCAAGGCGACGGUACAUAGCCGACCUGAGAGGGUGAUCGGCCACACUGGGACUGAGACACGGCCCAGACUCCUACGGGAGGCAGCAGUAGGGAAUCUUCGGCAAUGGACGGAAGUCUGACCGAGCAACGCCGCGUGAGUGAAGAAGGUUUUCGGAUCGUAAAGCUCUGUUGUAAGAGAAGAACGAGUGUGAGAGUGGAAAGUUCACACUGUGACGGUAUCUUACCAGAAAGGGACGGCUAACUACGUG